Homo sapiens (human) is the source of this 376-nucleotide long non-coding RNA. The record is from Ensembl. Lineage: Eukaryota; Metazoa; Chordata; Mammalia; Primates; Hominidae.
GGAAUCCGUUUCCUCUCCGCAUCAGUGGCAGAGAUGUCCCUGCCCCAACCGACAGGGUCUCACUGUGUCACCAAGGCUGGCUCAAUCACGGCUCACUGCAGCCUCGACCUCCUGUGUUCAAGCGAUCCUCCUGCCUCAGCCUCCCGAGUAGCUGGGACUAUAGGGGUGCACCACCAUGCCCAGAGCAGCCUUCCAAACAGAAUGUUGUCCAUUCACCUUGGAACUGCCAUCCACAAACCAAGCUGUUUGCUGGCCAGUUGAGAGCCGUUAUGGGACACUGUAGAAGCCAGCAGCUCCUCACGCAAACCAGUCCUAGCAGAAAAGAGGCUCCUUUCUUUUAUCUCCUCCUGGCACUCCCCAGGUAGCAUGCUUCUGU